CCUGAUGGCCAUAGAGCACUUGUACCACCUGAUCCCAUCUCGAACUCAGAAGUGAAAAGGUGCAUCGCCGAUGGUAGUGUGGGGUCUCCCCAUGUGAGAGUAGGACACUAUCAGGC
Molecule: ribosomal RNA, 116 nt
Filed under: Gammaproteobacteria bacterium
Lineage: Bacteria; Pseudomonadati; Pseudomonadota; Gammaproteobacteria
Source: RNAcentral